This 722-nucleotide ribosomal RNA is filed under the name uncultured eukaryote. RNAcentral describes it as "SSU rRNA". It matches the Rfam family "Eukaryotic small subunit ribosomal RNA", at positions 673 to 1426 of the family's 1831-position model. The record is from RNAcentral.
GGGUCACCGUUUGUUAAGCGCAAAUAUGGAUGACUGUUUUUGCUGACUUCAUUGUUUGGCUUAUAAGAGUUAUCAAAUAUCACUUUGAUUAAAUUAGAGUGCUUAAAGCAAGUGUCUUACUUGAAUAUAAAUGCAUGGAAUGAUGGAAUAUGUUGUUGUUCUAUUUGUUGGUUUUUGAACGAUGAAAUGAUUGAAAGGAACUGUUGGGGGCAUUCGUAUUGUUGUGAGAGAGGUGAAAUUCUUAGACCACAGCAAGACGAACUACUGCGAAAGCAUUUGCCAAGAAUGUUUUCAUUGAUCAAGAACGAAAGUUAGAGGUUCGAAGGCGAUCAGAUACCGCUCUAGUUCUAACCAUAAACUAUGCCAACUAGCAAUUUGCUUAUGUAUGUUUUAUGACUAGGUGAGAGGCCACGGGAAACCAAAGUAGGGUUAUGGGGGAAGUAUGGUUGCAAAGCUGAAACUUAAAGGAAUUGACGGAAGGGCACCACCAGGAGUGGAGCCUGCGGCUUAAUUUGACUCAACACGGGAAAACUUACCUGGUCCUGACACUAGAAGGAUUGACAGAUUGAUAGCUCUUUCUUGAUUUGGUGGAUGGUGGUGCAUGGCCGUUCUUAGUUGGUGGAGUGAUUUGUCUGGUUAAUUCCGAUAACGAACGAGACUCUAGCCUAUUAAACAACACACAGAAUCAUGUCUUCUGCGGUGUUUCUUAAUGGGAUCAAGUG